GACGAACGCUGGCGGCGUGCUUAACACAUGCAAGUCGAACGGAAAGGCCCUGCUUUUGUGGGGUUCUCGAGUGGCGAACGGGUGAGUAACACGUGAGUAACCUGCCCUUGACUUUGGGAUAACUUCAGGAAACUGGGGCUAAUACCGGAUAGGAGCUCCUGCUGCAUGGUGGUGGAUGGAAAGUGUCGGCGGUUGGGGAUGGACUCGCGGCUUAUCAGCUUGUUGGUGGGGUAGUGGCUUACCAAGGCUUUGACGGGUAGCCUGCCUGAGAGGGUGACCGGCCACAUUGGGACUGAGAUACGGACCAGACUCCUACGGGAGGCAGCAGUGGGGAAUAUUGCACAAUGGGCGGAAGCCUGAUGCAGCAACGCCGCGUGCGGGAUGACGGCCUUCGGGUUGUAAACCGCUUUCGCCUGUGACGAAGCGUGAGUGACGGUAAUGGGUAAAGAAGCACCGGCUAACUACGUG
This 468-nucleotide ribosomal RNA is filed under the name uncultured bacterium. RNAcentral's name for it is "partial 16S ribosomal RNA". It matches the Rfam family "Bacterial small subunit ribosomal RNA", at positions 28 to 507 of the family's 1533-position model. The record is from RNAcentral.